RNAcentral lists this long non-coding RNA (3709 nucleotides) under Triticum aestivum (bread wheat). RNAcentral's name for it is "long non-coding RNA (TAES_LNC026749)". Lineage: Eukaryota; Viridiplantae; Streptophyta; Magnoliopsida; Poales; Poaceae. The record is from RNAcentral.
AUUGCAUGAUGAACAAUGUUAGGCAUAAAAUUUUAAUAGUGCCAGAUUUUAGUAAUAAAUCAAAACAAAGUUUACUUUAACCAAAAUAUAGUUGCAUUAGACAUUAGAAGAUAAGGAAUUUCAUUCAAAUCAAUCUAGUUCGUACUGGGAUACUCUAGUAUCGCUCCUGCAAAUUCAGGCACACAAGCUAGUCUAAGCAGCUGGCUGCCCCUUCUCUCUAAUGACCUAUCCAAAACGUGAAGAAGCUCAUAGUCUAUGGACCCCUUGUGUCUUAUUAUUUCCCGCAUGCAAGCCAGAAGCUUUCCUGUUGCCUUCCGAUUACCGAAAGUCCGAGGCCGUUCGUGUGUUUGCGAAAGUUGUGCUCCUUCAACAACUUGUGAACGGUGGUCUUCUUCAUAUUCAAUGCACUAGCGACAUCUCGGAUUGUUUUUCGAUCCUUCGGAGGGACAGCCAUUAGAGCAUCCAAGUCCAACGCAACAUGCUUUCUUCCAACUCUACCCGCCUUCUUGUUGAUGACCGCAUUCACACCGCCACCUCGCCUAGCAUUCUCCCAUAUCCGCCGGAGGACCCUAGCUGGCACGUCUGUUCGAUUUGAUAAUUCUUUACUCACCCCACGUCUUAGUGGACCACAACCAUUUCUCUCCAAAAUAAUCGCAUACAGCGCACGCUUAUCAUCAUCGUUGUAAAAUGUUCUUCUCUUUUUAUUGGCCAUCUCAACUAGGAAAAACAUACAAGGAUAGCAUUUUGUUAAGUUUGAAACUAGGACAACAAAAUCCUAUUAACUCUUAUUCUUCAUUUCAUAAUCCAGUUUUAGGAUAAACAAAACAUGCAGCUUGACGACAACAAAUACUCAUACUAGGAUUCAACAACUAAAUUAGCGAUACACGUGCAAUCUUCAUCUAUGAAUUCUAUAACUUCCUAAUCGUCAUUAUAUAUAAUAGCCAGAAUUACACAGGUGCAAUCUCUACAGUACUAUAACAGAAAAAAAAAAUGUACAGUGUUCAUUCUCUACAAUAUUUUGCAAUAAUCUCCAUUGAUGAAACAUAUUACUACUGUUCAUUAUUAGUAGAAAGAUAUUGACAUAUGCAAUCUCCAUCUAUGAAAUUGAAACCUAUAUAAUAUUUUAAAAAAUACACUGUUCAUAAUCUACUCAGAAUCAGAAAUAGAAAUAAAUAGGCCCAUAAAUGUAUUCUACAUAUAUACUAACAACAAUGUGCCACGUUCAUGAUCUAAAGUGCAUAUUUUUUAAAUCCACAACAACAAUAACUGAAAGCAUGAAUUUAAACUAAUCAAACAAAAAACGAGGCUACUUUUCUUUAAUCUCAUUAUUAAGUGUAAUCUUCCUCUAUCAAUCACUACAUAGCAAAAUUAUGCCCACUGUUCCAUUGCAUGAGCAUGAGUACCAAAUCACAAGCAAAGUAGGUAGGACGCAAACCUACUUAGUUCUGUGCCGGUGUCAUGGCCGUGGUCGUUCUUGUCCGUGCCUCCUGCGCCACACCCUUCAUCACCGCCAGCUGCAGCAUCAUCGUCAUGGCCGUCGCAGCCAGUCCAUCCGCGACACUCGGAUCUCGCCACGGAUGGCACGCGACCAGCGAGUCCAGCGCCUAGAGAACCGGCUGCGUCGCGCACGGCAGCGAGUGCACGAGCACGACCGAAGCAGCCGUGGUUGCCUCCUCCGCUCAAGAUCGACGGGAGCGAUCCGCGGCUCGGGUCGAAUGCUCCUCGCCCACCUAGCCGAGGCAGGCCCGCGACGGCUUCUCCACCGGCGCCAGCGGUGCAGCCGCGCCUUGCUCGACCUCUACGUGCCAGGCGCAGGCCGGCGGCGCCCCGUCCACAAGCGAGCCCUCCGCCACCGCCACCGCCGCCGGUAGACCCACCAUGCCCACGGUUCAGGUCGUCAGCUUGAUCUCGCGGUCGCCCAGCUUCCUCUCGACCGUCUACGUCUACAGGAUCCAGGUUUAGAUCAAAGAACGCCAUGGAGUUUCAGGACGAGGAAGAAGAGGAAUGGAGUACUAGUAAGUAUAAAGCAUCUGCCCUCCGUCCUCUUAUAAGGAGGAUUUGGAGUUCAAAUCUUCGUGCCAUUUUUCCUCCUAGGCAGCGCAGGGAUUGGAUCGACAUAUGGCGCCGAAAUUGGGAAUUGGGCAUUGCUGCACACGACGCGAGGAAGAGAGCGAGGUCGCCGGUUGGGUCACUAGUGAGGCGGAAGAGAAGACGAUGGGGUUGCCUGCAAUAACUGUGUUUUGUUGGCAGGAGCAUGGCCGAGGCCGAUCGAAGCCCGUCGGGCGGUUGCAUUGCAUAUCGCUCCAUAAUCCCGGUCAUCAGAGUUACAUCUUGUCUUCGCUCGCAAAAAAGAGUACAUGUUUCCGGUGGACGGUGGUGCAUGCUGAUGCUGCUGAUCGGUGGAGUACCAAAGCUUUUUCUUGUCCGGGAGUAGUAGGCAUCAAUUUUCUACCUCCCUUGCCCUUGAUCGACCAACCACACAGCUCAGCAUGUAAUUGCAAUUAAUGCGUUAAAUGAGGGACGUUAGGAUUGGCCAUGCAUGCGCCCAUCUUUCCACGGGAAAUCAGAGCGACGCAUCGGCGAAGACACUUCCUCGUUGGAGGCACUGCUGGAAUUUCAUCCUACCCGAGUGUUUGCCUCUUCACCGAGUGCUAAAUCACAGGGACUACUUGAGAAACAAAUAGUAUAAGCCGAGAGCAUCACACGGCAACGAGAAGAAGACACGGCGAAGAAGGCACACUCGGCAUUCCGCAAAGGCCAUAGACGCCGAGAGCACCACACAUCAAAGAGAUGCCACGUGGCAUGUCCGUUUGCAUCUAAUGGCUCCGUAACUUAUAGUUGUCUUUACCGAGAUCUAAACAAGGCCGCUUGGCACACGAGUGAAACAUUUUCACCUCAUAGGUGGACCCAUUAGAAUCACUUGUUACCGAAACAUUUCAAAUUUCUUUUGCAAGAACAUCUCAAACAUAUUGACACUACUGAAGUCAGGGGCGGAGCCAACGUAGAAGCAUUGGGUUCAAGUGAACCCAACGACUUUUGCCUCGUACAUGCAUGUAGGUACGUGGUUGCCUGACCUGAACCCAGUAAAAAAUCAUGCCUGACUCCCCAUCAAAUAGCGCGAGGGCCAUGUGAAUAGCUAACCAAAGGGCCAGCCCCCAAAAAAGCUAAGCAAAGGGCCAAAAGCCCACAAGGAGUCAAUGUGCCCAGGCAGCCAGGCCUAAACCGUGAUUAGCAGGCCCCUUGUGAUUACUCACGUAACGCAGCCACACGCAAGCCUCGUCGUCUGUUCGUUUUCCAAAUCGCAUCUCUUCUCUCGUCUGUUCGUGUUGUUCCGCGCCUCGCCGCCGCACGCCGGCGGCAAGCAGGCCACUAGCUGCAACACUUGUAGCCCAAAAUUUGAGGUAAUUAGAUUACAUUAUCACAUCCCCUCAUCUACUCUCUCUUAUAUAUGUCCUAUCUAGCUAAUAGCCUAUUAGUACGAAUGUACAAUAGUGAUUUUUUGCCCUAGUUUUUUUUCUGUGGACUUUGAUUUGAUCUAGGCUAUGGAGGGGUAUUAUUCAAAGAAAACUUGGUCACCAGAUCCGGUUAAUGAUACACACACAUCAAGGUCACCCAUUAGACGUAAGCAAGUGCAUCACAUGUUAGUGUAACCAGUCUCCCGAAACCUACUAUUCACACAUAAAUUAACUUAGAUGAGUUGCCUUCUGAU